AAUUGUUUUUUUUUACGUCCGUCCUUCAUUUUUCUCUUGCUCCACUAAAUAUUGAUGAGAGAUAAAGAGAAGGGAAUUAGAAAUGGGGUGAAUGAAACUGAUUCAGGGGAGGAGAGAGAAUAGAGAAGGAAAUGAAGUAAGAAUGUAAAAAAAGAAAGAAAAAAAGAAAUAUCAUUAGGCUUCGUAGUUUAAUACUACACGUCUUUUUUUUUAAAUUUUUCAAGCUCUGCAGUGCAGUUUAAUAGUGUGGAUGUCAAUUUUUUUGAAUUGUAAAGAAAGGAUAAUUUGGUAAUCCAUUUUGUUCACAGUUUAAUACUGCAGAAUAUUGAAAAUUAAACUGCGGAUGAGAGAUCUAUUUAACCGUUAGAUCAUCGGAUGGACGGUCACGAUGUGUUGUAAGUAUAACCUUAAGUUAACAUUGUUAACUAUGAAUCAGUCCUCAUAUAUAUAUAUAUAUAUAUAUAUAUAUAUAUAUAUAAAUUAGAAAUAAACUUUUAUUUUAACACAGAAGGGGCAAAAAUUCCUCUAAUAUUGACAAAUUUUAGCGGCAAUGCAUAAAGAUAGAAUUUUAACUCCUAAUUAAAACAAAUUAAACAACUUAAUUUCAAACUCAUCCAAUCAACAUUUAGUGUCUGCAAUUUUUUAUCUCUAAACCCAUUUUUUUUAAACAAAUUAAAUUCGGAUGAAGCUGCUUAGAUCCAAGAUGAACAACCUCCAUGUUUUCCAUUAUUACAUGACACAAGAUCAUAUACUGUAAACCCAUUUUCGUCAACAUCACAAUAAUUUGCGGUGUAGUCAAAAAAGUGAAGCUGAAUACUAAUUUUUAACACACAUUAACAACAUUAAGAGAUGCAGUUCAAGCAAAACUCUGAAUCUUUUUUGAGUGGCCAUAUUAAGAACAUUGAUUAAAAGCAAUUGCGAAAUCAUAAAGUUCCCUUUCAGUUUAGAAGUAAAAAAAUAAAGAACUAUUAUAAGUAACACAACCAUCAAAUCUCAAAUACUGAUAAGGAAAAAAUAAAUUCUCAUAAAAUUUUAUGAACUCCAAAAUCAAAACACAAAAUACAGAAAACUGAAACACAACCUGAAGGCUUAGACAAUGAUACUAAAAGCCAACAUGAUAGAGCUAUCAACUAACACGCAAAAUUACUUAGAUCUCUGCCUCAUCUUUCGUCGUUUUCUCUUCAACCUCCUCAUUCUCUUCUAAAAAUCUAAAAGAGAAAGAUCAAUCGGGUGAGGGGAAAUUAAUUAUACUUUGGCCCAUGGUGAUGAAUUGGGGAUUUGUUUUAGCCUCCUCUGUCUUCCAAAACCCUAAUAAGACUGCGGAGGAAAUGAGAAAGAGAGAUAAAAAUGUUUCUUUUAGCGUUAUGUUGGAGAACGAUUUCGAGAAAUGACAUAAAAGUUGAAGCUCUGAUCGGCGAACCCGGGAUUUGUGGGAUAAAAGUUAAAGCUCUGAUCGGCAAACAAGAAAAAUAGAUCUGAGUUAAAUGGGUUCAGAGAUAGAAAGCUUUAGAGAGAGAAAAAAUGGAUUUGAUAAAGAUGGAUUUAGAGAGAAAAAAUAAAUUUGAAUUUUUUGGGUUCAAAAAUUUGUUCAAAAAUAAAUAGAUCUGAGUUAAAUGGGAUGUGUUUUAAUUUGCUGAUGACAUGGUAAUUCAAUUUUUUUUUUAAAAAUAAAAUAAAAAAUUGAAUUCUUGUUUUUUAUGGGAUUGGGUUCAUUUUAAAUUUUAUUUUUUUCAUUGUACCGCCUCUUUUUUUUUGAAAACUCUUAUUUGGUGUUUUGGAAACUUUCUUUGCAAUACUAUCGUAUUCUCUGUCUGGUGUCUGUUUAUAUUGUUGGUUGAUUGGUGG
Molecule: long non-coding RNA, 1845 nt
Filed under: Panax ginseng (ginseng)
Lineage: Eukaryota; Viridiplantae; Streptophyta; Magnoliopsida; Apiales; Araliaceae
Description: long non-coding RNA (PGIN_LNC002979)
Source: RNAcentral